RNAcentral lists this ribosomal RNA (944 nucleotides) under Sanguibacter inulinus. Its description in RNAcentral is "bacterial SSU rRNA". It matches the Rfam family "Bacterial small subunit ribosomal RNA", at positions 36 to 989 of the family's 1533-position model. Lineage: Bacteria; Bacillati; Actinomycetota; Actinomycetes; Micrococcales; Sanguibacteraceae. The record is from RNAcentral.
CUGGCGGCGUGCUUAACACAUGCAAGUCGAACGGUGACAUCAGAGCUUGCUCUGGUUGAUCAGUGGCGAACGGGUGAGUAACACGUGAGUAACCUGCCCUUGACUCUGGGAUAACUCCGGGAAACCGGGGCUAAUACCGGAUACGAGACGCGACCGCAUGGUCGGCGUCUGGAAAGUUUUUCGGUCAAGGAUGGACUCGCGGCCUAUCAGCUUGUUGGUGAGGUAAUGGCUCACCAAGGCGUCGACGGGUAGCCGGCCUGAGAGGGCGACCGGCCACACUGGGACUGAGACACGGCCCAGACUCCUACGGGAGGCAGCAGUGGGGAAUAUUGCACAAUGGGCGAAAGCCUGAUGCAGCGACGCCGCGUGAGGGAUGAAGGCCUUCGGGUUGUAAACCUCUUUCAGUAGGGAAGAAGCGAAAGUGACGGUACCUGCAGAAGAAGCGCCGGCUAACUACGUGCCAGCAGCCGCGGUAAUACGUAGGGCGCAAGCGUUGUCCGGAAUUAUUGGGCGUAAAGAGCUCGUAGGCGGUUUGUCGCGUCUGGUGUGAAAACUCAAGGCUCAACCUUGAGCUUGCAUCGGGUACGGGCAGACUAGAGUGUGGUAGGGGUGACUGGAAUUCCUGGUGUAGCGGUGGAAUGCGCAGAUAUCAGGAGGAACACCGAUGGCGAAGGCAGGUCACUGGGCCACUACUGACGCUGAGGAGCGAAAGCAUGGGGAGCGAACAGGAUUAGAUACCCUGGUAGUCCAUGCCGUAAACGUUGGGCACUAGGUGUGGGGCUCAUUCCACGAGUUCCGCGCCGCAGCUAACGCAUUAAGUGCCCCGCCUGGGGAGUACGGCCGCAAGGCUAAAACUCAAAGGAAUUGACGGGGGCCCGCACAAGCGGCGGAGCAUGCGGAUUAAUUCGAUGCAACGCGAAGAACCUUACCAAGGCUUGACAUAC